AUCCAGCUGACGAGUCCCAAAAAGGACGAAACGCGUGUCCUGAAU
This 45-nucleotide non-coding RNA is filed under the name Schistosoma curassoni. The record is from RNAcentral. Lineage: Eukaryota; Metazoa; Platyhelminthes; Trematoda; Strigeidida; Schistosomatidae.